Molecule: long non-coding RNA, 1629 nt
Organism: Gopherus flavomarginatus (Mexican gopher tortoise)
Lineage: Eukaryota; Metazoa; Chordata; Testudines; Testudinidae
Exons: 2
Source: RefSeq, a predicted model, not a curated record
GCUCCACCCCGCGCUGCUAGAGGGGGGAGCUGGGUCUCCAGCUCCUUACACCCGCCCAGCUCUGCGCUAGGGCUGCCCGUGCCCAGGGCCCGCCCUUGGAAGUAGCAGCCCGGGGUGCGCCUGGGGUUCAGGAUCAGCUGGCCUGGCUUUUAUACAUGGGAGGUGUAGCCCUCGGCUGCCAGAGAGCGGCCAGGCUGCAGUUAGACCAACUGUAAACUUCCCUGGGCCUUGGGCCUCCUCCCUAGAUCGCCCCUCUUGGACCCCCUCUUAGCGCAGUUGAGUCCUGGUGCUUGAUUGGGGCUCCUAGGAGAGCAGACCAGGAACUGAAUGCAAGGAUCUCCCAUGGUGAUGCAGAACACUAGCUAAUGGCUGGUCUACACUAGAAGUGCUCUACGCCAACCAGAGAGAGCUCUCCCACUGACACUGGUGCUUCGGUUGGUGUAACUUACAUCGUUCAGGGAGGUCGCUUAUUCACACCCCUGAGUGACAUAAGUUAUAACAACAUAGGUGGUAUUGUGUACAAGUCCUGAGGGAUCUUUCCAGAAAAUAAGAAACUAAGGCAGUGAUUGCAUCGAGGUCUCUUGUGUUAUGUACAAAAUGGACCUGGGAGAACACUAGCCACAGAUGACUCCCUCCACACUACUUCCCCUACCUCUGAUAAACUUUCCCAGUAUACCUCAAGAUACCAGCCAUAUACUCCAUGGCCAUACCACAGCAGUUAACCAUCUGAAACCAUGGAAAAGCUUAACAGAACUGCUUAAAAAAAAUCCAUGAUGGCUGCAUGACUGGAAAUGUGGCACAGGCAACUUGAAAUACUUCACAAGGAUGUCAAAAUACACAUUGCUGAAUGCCUUCCUGUGACGUUGUGCAGUCUAUAUGGUUUUAUAAAAAUAUGGUAAUGAGUGAAUAUAAUGUAACUGGAAUAUGCUUCAUGCAAAAGGCCUCUUGUAAGGUAUCAUUACAAAGCUUAUAAUCUACUGAGUGUGGUCAUCCUAUUUGUAUAAAUGUAACACUCUUGUAUCUGAAAUAAGAAAUAUGAAAUAUAACUGAGGGCCUAUUGUAAUUAUGCAAAGUGUGGGCCAUUAAUGGUGGUUUGGAAUCUUAAUGACUCCCAUUAACCAGAGCAAUUGACUGUGGAUGGCUCUGUUUGCAGGCAGGCCUUCCUGUGAGUCAGGCUGGAAGGAAUGAAGGCUUGAAGUCUUGCAGUGAUGUGAUCAUGUCACCUGAACUGGAAUCCAUCUUUAACCUGGUAUUUUUCCAUUGAGAAGGAGGGGGUGGGAAUCCAGAGAGGGACAAAAGGAUUCUCACCUUAUGCAAAAGAUAUAUAAGGGGAUGGAACAGAACAAAGAGAGGAGUGGAGUCAUAAGGAAGAAUCCCCUAGCUACCACCUGAGCUGGAAAAAGAGCUGUAGCAGGAUGAAGAAUUGUGCCCGGCCUAGAAGAUGUCCAGUGGGAGGAAAAACUUACUGAAGCAUUUCUGAGAGUGAGAUUAUCUGUAUUCAGUUUGAUUAGACAUGGAUGUGCACAUUUUAUUUUAUUUUGCUUGGUAGCUUCCUUUGUUCUGUCUGUUACUACUUGGAACCACUUAAAUCCUACUUUCUGUAUUUAAUAAAAUCACUUUACUUAUUAA